This 305-nucleotide ribosomal RNA is filed under the name uncultured bacterium. RNAcentral describes it as "bacterial SSU rRNA". It matches the Rfam family "Bacterial small subunit ribosomal RNA", at positions 334 to 657 of the family's 1533-position model. The record is from RNAcentral.
GUUUCCUACGGGAGGCAGCAGUGGGGAAUAUUGCACAAUGGGCGAAAGCCUGAUGCAGCAACGCCGCGUGAGCGAUGAAGGCCUUCGGGUCGUAAAGCUCUGUCCUCAAGGAAGAUAAUGACGGUACUUGAGGAGGAAGCCCCGGCUAACUACGUGCCAGCAGCCGCGGUAAUACGUAGGGGGCUAACGUUAUCCGGAAUUACUGGGCGUAAAGGGUGCGUAGGUGGUUUCUUAAGUCAGAGGUGAAAGGCUACGGCUCAACCGAAGUAAGCCUUCGAAACUGGGGUACUUGAGUGAAGGAGAGG